Molecule: ribosomal RNA, 497 nt
Filed under: uncultured bacterium
Lineage: Bacteria
Description: partial 16S ribosomal RNA
Rfam family: Bacterial small subunit ribosomal RNA
Source: RNAcentral
GAUGAACGCUGGCGGCGUGCCUAAUACAUGCAAGUCGAGCGAACGGACGAGAAGCUUGCUUCUCUGAUGUUAGCGGCGGACGGGUGAGUAACACGUGGAUAACCUACCUAUAAGACUGGGAUAACUUCGGGAAACCGGAGCUAAUACCGGAUGAUAUUUUGAACCGCAUGGUUCAAAAGUGAAAGACGGUCUUGCUGUCACUUAUAGAUGGAUCCGCGCUGCAUUAGCUAGUUGGUAAGGUAACAGCUUACCAAGGCAACGAUGCAUAGCCGACCUGAGAGGGUGAUCGGCCACACUGGAACUGAGACACUGUCCAAGCUCCUACGGGAGGCAGCAGUAGGGAAUCUUCCGCAAUAGGCGAAAGCCUGACGGAGCAACGCCGCGUGAGUGAUGAAGGUCUUCGGAUCGUAAAACUCUGUUAUUAGGGAAGAACAUAUGUGUAAGUAACUGUGCACAUCUUGACGGUACCUAAUCAGAAAGCCACGGCUAACUACGUG